Molecule: long non-coding RNA, 4707 nt
Organism: Polypterus senegalus (gray bichir)
Lineage: Eukaryota; Metazoa; Chordata; Cladistia; Polypteriformes; Polypteridae
Exons: 3
Source: RefSeq, a predicted model, not a curated record
GUUUGAAACAGGGUCUGAACACUCUGAAGCAGUGAUGAAACCCACUAUGCUACAGCAUAUCUGAGCAUUGUAGACGGUGAUCAUGGUGGAGCUCAAUGUCCCAUGGGAGUACAGAAUGGAGACAACCUUUCAAAGGAACAGGCUGAGCAGGCUCAGUUCCAGGCUGGAGUGCUGAGAAGCCUCCCAGAGAGGGCAUUUGACGUCAUCCCUUGAAGUCUAACUGUGACAAAACCCUGGGUGUUCCGAAAGGAGGUGUCAUUAUUGGCUUAAACGACCUGUUGGACGGAGCUCUGCUAGCAUCAACUAAAGCAAUUUAUUUGUUUUCCCACAUACAGGACAUACACCAAAGAGGGUCUUUUGAUUUUUUGUUUGUUUUGCCUUGUUCUCAGACAAUGAAAGGGACAACCCAGUUGGUGCAACAAAAUUUCCUCUGUUUCAGAACUGUAAUUUCUGCACCUAACCAUACUAUCUAUCUAUCUAUCUAUCUAUCUAUCUAUCUAUCUAUCUAUCUAUCUAUCUAUCUAUCUAUCUAUCUAUCUAUCUAUCUAUCUCUGUCUGUCUGUCUGUUUGUUUUUUUUCGUUUAUAAAUUAGUAUUACAGCCCACCAUGUACCCAUCUGAGAUUUAUUUUCCCCAGCUGAGGCUGCUGGCUGGAGUUUUACUCUCCUUCUUUGUCAACUGGCCAUAGCUCAACUAUACUUUUAACAGACUUCAAUAUACAUAAACAAUGCUGAGUAUAGCUUAUUGUAUUUUUAGCAAGUUGCCUGCCCUAGUGGCUAAAUAGUUGGUUUUAAAUCUCCAAGGAUGCAACUUAACUUGCCAUUUUGUGAUUUAAGAGUAAGUCAUUGCAUCUCGUUGGGCUCAGAUCUUGGAAAAACUAAAUUAUGAUGAUGUUUAGAAUGGAAAUCACAGUAAAUCAAUUGUUCAGUCCAUUUUCUUUAUUUUUAUUACAGGGUUACAGGAAGCUAUUGUAGAACCUACCCGAGAAAUGGGAACAAUCCUGAAACCAAUCCCAGAUGGCACACAAAUGAUUUUACAGGGCACAUUCACUAUCUCAUAUUGGGCUAAUUUAAAUUACCGAUUAACUUAACCUGUACCAAAGACCACUUAGAGAAAACCGACACAGAGUCAGGGAGAACGUGAAAACUGCAUAUAGGCAGACAGUAUAAACAGAACUCAAACUUCUUAAGUUGUAAAGUAGAAUCUCUACCCAUUGCACCAGCUAUCAAUGGCGCCAUGUAAAAGAAGGCCAAAUUAUUUUGAUUUGUGCCAAUUCGUGUUAAUUUUAGUCUGUUAAUUCAUUAAUCCACUUUUAGACCUUGAAUAGUCCUCCAUUAUUGGAUACAAUUUCCUUUUAAAAACAUUACCAACCAUCUCAAGUUUCUUGCAAAACAAUACCUUUUUUUGCCCACUAGGGGUCCAUGUAGGACAUUUAAAUAAGCAAUGAUGUUUGAAAUGAUACUGAUGAUGGUCUACUGUACUGAGAAAGGAUGAGGAACAUGGAAGUAGAACAUCACCUCUUAUUAAAAACAGAUCUUUAGUUAAUUAAAUUACAAGAUAAUAUGUUCCAAAAAUAAAUUGUUGCAAUCAUUUCUAAAAAAAGUCAUGCAAUUUCUUUUGUUUUGAUUUUUUUCAAGCAUAUUUAAUGCCAACACAACCCUGAAUUGAAUUAAAUGAGUUCAGAGAAUUUUCUAAGUGGUUGGAUUGAUUUUUAAUAUAAUAAUUUUCAACUGUGUUCGAAAAGAUGGCUACUGCAGGGUGCACUUAACAGAUAUUAAUUUUGCACCAAACGCAACAAUAUAAAAAAGUCAAAACACGUUGUGUCCUGGACACUCAUCAGAUUGCUCAGUCAAGGCAUAGCUCGUGUUGGUAAAAGAUGGUAUUUCAGACUAAUGUCAAAGGGUCAAAGUUAAUGUUACUUCAUGUGUGAAAAAACAUCUGUUGAAUUCCCAACAGUGAGAUAUGGAGGGUCUCAAUAUUGAUUACGUUUUUCAGUACAGAUUGUUUAACUUAUCUGAACUGAUGGGAAAGUAAGAGCCUCUGGCUGAUCCUGCCAAACUCAAAUUUACUUUUGUUAAGAUAAGCCUCUUCUUUCCAUGGAGACAUGAUGUAAACAGUGCAUCCCUCAAAGCAGGGGUCUCAAACUUAGUCCCUGGAGCCCCUCCGUUUUUAAGUUAGUGCUGUGUUUUAACUGAAAUUUGUUCUUAUUUAGACUUCUUGUUUUUCUGGUUCUGAGCUUAGCAGGUGCAUUUGUCUCAAUGUCAGCUCCCUGGAGUGUCUACUGAACUUCACUAUAGACACAAAAUUCUUCAGUGGGUUACGUGUAUCUUAGAGAAGAGUGCAAGGCAGGAACUGAGCCUGAAUGGGGUACCCAUCCAUUUCACUUUUACAAUGAGUUAAUUUAAAAUUAUAAACUAAUUCAACACAAAUUUGAUUUUAUUAUCUUUUCUUCUGUUUGUUUCUCGUUUUGUGCUAGUUGCUUUUUACCAGAAACCUGUCAAGUUUAAGUGUUUGAAGAUCAGGACUUUAUAAUGUAUAUGGGUAGUUCUGAGGAGGAUGGUCUUCUGCAGCUGCAUGACACUCACUGUAUUUGGCACCUCAUCAAGAUAUUUAUGGAGACCUAGCUUAGCAGUUCCAAGUGGUCUGACUAUGACUAGAAUCCCAUGAACCUUUGUGUUCCACAUGUGUGAAAGUUAAAUCUUAAGGUCUUUGUAUUUUACUGAGAUGUACAUGUCAUCUUGAAAAGCCAUAUUGAUUAGUAGAUACUACUACUACUUGCUACUUUCACAGAAAAAUGAUGUCUGGUUGGUUAGCUCCAAUUGUACAAUCACUGUUCACAACCAUAUCAUACAUAAUGAUGGUGUUCUCUGUCUUGACAACCUUUCAAGGCUGGUAAUCAAACCAAUAAUCAGGGAGGCAAAAAUCAUGGACCAUUGACCAGUGCAGGUAAUUAGCUAUCUGAUUGUGUCGAUGAGUGUACUCUUCUGCCACUAACACUGAGCAUCCAGAAACAACAUGACUAAUGAGCUCUUCCGAUUGCUGGCAUAUCCUGCACUUACUAUCAAGAGUUUCUUUCCAUCUUGAAAAUACUCUGUAGAUGAUAGCAUGUGUUAAGUACCUGAUCCUGACCUACCAUACGGAGACUCAAUGACGGACCCUUUAGCCCAGAGCCUCGCAACCAUCCAGGAGUCCAAGGGUCAGAUUCUUUUCAACAUGCAGUAUUUGUCUGAUGUCUGUCUGGAGUACUGACCUUGGAGUGGUUUCACACAAGAGAUUGUUGAUUUUUUUUGUCAAUUAGUAAAGCCUUCAUCCUAUUCUUGAUGGCCAUAAGACUAGAUGCUGUUGUCAGGGAAGUAUCAAGCGUGAGGUAUUGGCAUUUGAUACCUCCAAUUUCUUUGCCAAUUUUGACAAGAUAAUUUCACUUCUGUUUGUGUAUCUCAUUAAGAGUCUGGUAUUUUGUUGGCUUCUUCUUCUUAUUAUUAUUUUUUUGUUUUUGUCACGGACUUUUUUCCAAAUCAAUCUAACAGGACUGAGGUGUUUACAUACAUUUAAACAACUGCAGAUUAAAUGACUUGGUUGGCGGCAAAUAUUGAAUAGAAAGGGUAGAUAUGAACAAUGUGGUUUGGGUUCAACAAUCUAUCAAUUGUGCCACACUAAUUACAAUGUGUGAGGACAAGUGAAGAAGCACCUGUUGAGACACAAAGUCAGAGAACGUAGAAACUCCACACCACUAGUGAGUAGACUGGAAUCUAACCUCAGUCUCUUGGAGUUGGAAGCACCAACCCCUCUGCCACUGUGCCACCCCAUCUAUUAAAUACACCAACUAAAUUAAAAUGCAUAUAGAUUCAAAUUGUGGGAUUUAGCCAGAAUAGCUGUUGCCAUUAGUGUGGUGCUGAUAACAGGUCUUUUGCACAUUGGUUCACUGUUGUUAUGAUUUUCCCACUUUCAAUCAUCUGUCAAUGGCUCAUAGAUAGCCACCCCAACAGUUAAGCCAGUGGCACACCAUAAGACGCCUAGUCAGACGGGAUGUCACAUUCGACAAUGGCAGUUCCUGAUCUUGUCACCCAGAGAUGUCCAGUUACACACUAUAAACUGCCAGGUAUGACAAAUUACAUGACUCCAUGAUGACUUUCUAGCACAGUUUAAAAUUUUCAAAGUAUUGCAAGCUCACCCCUUUGUCUGAAAACUAAUAACACGCAGCCUGACAGAGCCUGGGCUUUAUGGAUGCUUUCCAAAUACAACUAAUUCAGCUGCAAUCUUUGCCCUUUUUUGUUCUAUUUUACCACGUGUGGACUAUGGCCGGCCAUUCAUCCCGGCCAAUACCCCAGGCCGCUAGGUGGAGCCCUCCCUGCAGCAUGGAGGUGCCCCGAAUGCCAGCAGGGAAUUAUAGACAAUGGAGUUUUAAUCCACAGCCCUUCUGGAUAACACGGGGGCCGCUAGAAGGCACUGCAGUGGAGGAGCAAUGAGAAAUUUUGCCUACAACACAAAAGUGCGUCCUAGUCACAUGGACAAAGGGAAUGACAUGGUUCCAGGUUGAAGAGGAGGAGUUUUCAUGUGACCCGGAAGUGCUAGGAAAUCACAUGGACUGAGGGAUUCAGAAGCACUUCCGGGUCAUGGACUAUAAAGGACUGAUACCAGACGACGAACUUUGCUGGGUGGCAGGGUGGCAACACGUUUGGGGCAGGAGGAUUGUUUAUUGAUUAUUGAU